This 190-nucleotide microRNA precursor is filed under the name Hordeum vulgare subsp. vulgare (domesticated barley). Its description in RNAcentral is "MIR1435 microRNA precursor family". It matches the Rfam family "MIR1435 microRNA precursor family". The record is from Rfam by way of RNAcentral. Lineage: Eukaryota; Viridiplantae; Streptophyta; Magnoliopsida; Poales; Poaceae.
AUCAGUUUUCGUGCAAGUCAAACUUGUGUAUGUUUGACCAAGAUUAUAGAAUAAAAUAUCAAUAUCUACAAUAUAAAAUAAAUAUAUUUUCUAUGAUGGAUCUAAUGAUACAAUUUUGGUAUUGAGAUAUUGAUACUUUUUUCUAAAAACUUGGUCAAACAUUUACAUGUUUGACUUUCAAAAAACUAAU